This 2906-nucleotide ribosomal RNA is filed under the name Salmonella enterica. RNAcentral's name for it is "23S ribosomal RNA". It matches the Rfam family "Bacterial large subunit ribosomal RNA". The record is from RNAcentral. Lineage: Bacteria; Pseudomonadati; Pseudomonadota; Gammaproteobacteria; Enterobacterales; Enterobacteriaceae.
GGUUAAGCGACUAAGCGUACACGGUGGAUGCCCUGGCAGUCAGAGGCGAUGAAGGGCGUGCUAAUCUGCGAUAAGCGCCGGUAAGGUGAUAUGAACCGUUAUAACCGGCGAUACCCGAAUGGGGAAACCCAGUGUGACUCGUCACACUAUCAUUAACUGAAUCCAUAGGUUAAUGAGGCGAACCGGGGGAACUGAAACAUCUAAGUACCCCGAGGAAAAGAAAUCAACCGAGAUUCCCCCAGUAGCGGCGAGCGAACGGGGAGGAGCCCAGAGCCUGAAUCAGCAUGUGUGUUAGUGGAAGCGUCUGGAAAGGCGCGCGAUACAGGGUGACAGCCCCGUACACAAAAGCGCAUGUGCUGUGAGCUCGAUGAGUAGGGCGGGACACGUGGUAUCCUGUCUGAAUAUGGGGGACCAUCCUCCAAGGCUAAAUACUCCUGACUGACCGAUAGUGAACCAGUACCGUGAGGGAAAGGCGAAAAGAACCCCGGCGAGGGGAGUGAAAAAGAACCUGAAACCGUGUACGUACAAGCAGUGGGAGCACAGGUUUACCUGUGUGACUGCGUACCUUUUGUAUAAUGGGUCAGCGACUUAUAUUCUGUAGCAAGGUUAACCGUAUAGGGGAGCCGUAGGGAAACCGAGUCUUAACCGGGCGUUAAGUUGCAGGGUAUAGACCCGAAACCCGGUGAUCUAGCCAUGGGCAGGUUGAAGGUUGGGUAACACUAACUGGAGGACCGAACCGACUAAUGUUGAAAAAUUAGCGGAUGACCUGUGGCUGGGGGUGAAAGGCCAAUCAAACCGGGAGAUAGCUGGUUCUCCCCGAAAGCUAUUUAGGUAGCGCCUCGUGAAUUCAUCUCCGGGGUAGAGCACUGUUUCGGCUAGGGGGCCAUCCCGGCUUACCAACCCGAUGCAAACUGCGAAUACCGGAGAAUGUUAUCACGGGAGACACACGGCGGGUGCUAACGUCCGUCGUGAAGAGGGAAACAACCCAGACCGCCAGCUAAGGUCCCAAAGUCAUGGUUAAGUGGGAAACGAUGUGGGAAGGCCCAGACAGCCAGGAUGUUGGCUUAGAAGCAGCCAUCAUUUAAAGAAAGCGUAAUAGCUCACUGGUCGAGUCGGCCUGCGCGGAAGAUGUAACGGGGCUAAACCAUGCACCGAAGCUGCGGCAGCGACGCUGAUGCGUUGUUGGGUAGGGGAGCGUUCUGUAAGCCUGUGAAGGUGGCCUGUGAGGGUUGCUGGAGGUAUCAGAAGUGCGAAUGCUGACAUAAGUAACGAUAAAGCGGGUGAAAAGCCCGCUCGCCGGAAGACCAAGGGUUCCUGUCCAACGUUAAUCGGGGCAGGGUGAGUCGACCCCUAAGGCGAGGCCGAAAGGCGUAGUCGAUGGGAAACGGGUUAAUAUUCCCGUACUUGGUGUUACUGCGAAGGGGGGACGGAGAAGGCUAUGUUGGCCGGGCGACGGUUGUCCCGGUUUAAGCGUGUAGGUGUGUGUUCCAGGUAAAUCCGGUUCACUUUAACACUGAGGCGUGAUGACGAGGCACUACGGUGCUGAAGCAACAAAUGCCCUGCUUCCAGGAAAAGCCUCUAAGCAUCAGGUAACAUCAAAUCGUACCCCAAACCGACACAGGUGGUCAGGUAGAGAAUACCAAGGCGCUUGAGAGAACUCGGGUGAAGGAACUAGGCAAAAUGGUGCCGUAACUUCGGGAGAAGGCACGCUGACACGUAGGUGAAGUGAUUUACUCAUGGAGCUGAAGUCAGUCGAAGAUACCAGCUGGCUGCAACUGUUUAUUAAAAACACAGCACUGUGCAAACACGAAAGUGGACGUAUACGGUGUGACGCCUGCCCGGUGCCGGAAGGUUAAUUGAUGGGGUCAGCGCAAGCGAAGCUCCUGAUCGAAGCCCCGGUAAACGGCGGCCGUAACUAUAACGGUCCUAAGGUAGCGAAAUUCCUUGUCGGGUAAGUUCCGACCUGCACGAAUGGCGUAAUGAUGGCCAGGCUGUCUCCACCCGAGACUCAGUGAAAUUGAACUCGCUGUGAAGAUGCAGUGUACCCGCGGCAAGACGGAAAGACCCCGUGAACCUUUACUAUAGCUUGACACUGAACAUUGAGCCUUGAUGUGUAGGAUAGGUGGGAGGCUUUGAAGCGUGGACGCCAGUCUGCAUGGAGCCGGCCUUGAAAUACCACCCUUUAAUGUUUGAUGUUCUAACGUGGACCCGUGAUCCGGGUUGCGGACAGUGUCUGGUGGGUAGUUUGACUGGGGCGGUCUCCUCCUAAAGAGUAACGGAGGAGCACGAAGGUUGGCUAAUCCUGGUCGGACAUCAGGAGGUUAGUGCAAUGGCAUAAGCCAGCUUGACUGCGAGCGUGACGGCGCGAGCAGGUGCGAAAGCAGGUCAUAGUGAUCCGGUGGUUCUGAAUGGAAGGGCCAUCGCUCAACGGAUAAAAGGUACUCCGGGGAUAACAGGCUGAUACCGCCCAAGAGUUCAUAUCGACGGCGGUGUUUGGCACCUCGAUGUCGGCUCAUCACAUCCUGGGGCUGAAGUAGGUCCCAAGGGUAUGGCUGUUCGCCAUUUAAAGUGGUACGCGAGCUGGGUUUAGAACGUCGUGAGACAGUUCGGUCCCUAUCUGCCGUGGGCGCUGGAGAACUGAGGGGGGCUGCUCCUAGUACGAGAGGACCGGAGUGGACGCAUCACUGGUGUUCGGGUUGUCAUGCCAAUGGCACUGCCCGGUAGCUAAAUGCGGAAGAGAUAAGUGCUGAAAGCAUCUAAGCACGAAACUUGCCCCGAGAUGAGUUCUCCCUGAGACUUAGAGUCUCCUGAAGGAACGUUGAAGACGACGACGUUGAUAGGCCGGGUGUGUAAGCGCAGCGAUGCGUUGAGCUAACCGGUACUAAUGAACCGUGAGGCUUAACCUU